CCUACGGGUGGCAGCAGUGAGGAAUAUUUGUCAAUGGCCGAGAGGCUGAACCAGCCAAGUCGCGUGAGGGAAGACGGCCCUACGGGUUGUAAACCUCUUUUGUCGGGGAGCAAAGAGAGUCACGUGUGACUCAUUGAGAGUACCCGAAGAAAACGCAUCGACUAACUCCGUUCCAGCAGCCGCCGUAAUACGGAGGAUGCGAGCGUUAUCCGGAUGUAUUGGGUUUAAAGGGUGCGCAGGCGGAGGUGCAAGUCAGCGGUCAAAUGGCGGGGCUCAACCCCGUACGGCCGUUGAGACUGCAUCCCUUGAGUGCGCGAGAAGUAUGCGGAAUGCGUGGUGUAGCGGUGAAAUGCAUAGAUAUCACGCAGAACUCCGAUGGCGAAGGCAGCAUACCGGCGCGCAACUGACGCUCAUGCACGAAAGCGUGGGUAUCGAACAGGAUUAGAUACCCUGGUAGUC
Molecule: ribosomal RNA, 459 nt
Filed under: uncultured bacterium
Lineage: Bacteria
Description: partial 16S ribosomal RNA
Rfam family: Bacterial small subunit ribosomal RNA
Source: RNAcentral